AGGACGAACGCUGGCGGCGUGCUUAACACAUGCAAGUCGAGCGGAAAGGCCAUUUCGGUGGUACUCGAGCGGCGAACGGGUGAGCAACACGUGAGUAAUCUGCCCCUGGCUUUGGGAUAGCCACCGGAAACGGUGAUUAAUACCGGAUACGACCCGCCCUCGCAUGGGGGUGUGUGGAAAGUUUUUCGGCCAGGGAUGUGCUCGCGGCCUAUCAGCUUGAUGGUGGGGUAAUGGACUCACAUCGGCUUCGGACGGGUAGCCCGGUCUGGAGUAGGGGUGAACCGGUCACACGUGGGACUGGAGACACGGCCCAGACUCCGUA
Molecule: ribosomal RNA, 322 nt
Filed under: uncultured soil bacterium
Lineage: Bacteria
Description: bacterial SSU rRNA
Rfam family: Bacterial small subunit ribosomal RNA
Source: RNAcentral